GCCACAAGCAAGGAAGGCGAUGCAGUGAAAGAAAUCCUACAAGUACCGUAGCUGAAAGAACUACUGGGAGUACUGCCCCUAUUCUUGAUGAGCAUUCAUUGAUGGUUAGGCCAGUAGAUCCUGUCAGCAGAAAUGAGAUUAGUCUGUCUCUUUUCCAUCUGCGUGUUGCCUAUCGAUGUUUAAAACCUUUCUCUCAGUGUUGCUCUUGCCAGUCACGUACACAAUUAGCUUUCGAGUAGGGUAUCACAAGGCGAGCUGUGACCAAGUUUGAUACCAUGGGCUGUCUUUGGAUACCGGUGUCGACAUUCACCACAGUGAUGGUGUUAGCAUUAUGCAGUGGAUCUAGCGAAGCAUCUUGCCCGACAAACUGUGUUUGUCAGAAUGACAUUCUCGUUAGCUGUAGCCCUAUCGGCGAAACCUUAAAUUUUGAAAAUUUGGGAUUGAAAGCAAUCAAUGGUUCUGCAUUCAAGGAUGGAAAUACAUUGAAUUACCUGUAAGUAUUGA
Molecule: long non-coding RNA, 504 nt
Organism: Sycon ciliatum
Lineage: Eukaryota; Metazoa; Porifera; Calcarea; Leucosolenida; Sycettidae
Exons: 3
Source: RefSeq, a predicted model, not a curated record